UUUUUUUCUUUUACAGUUGUU
This 21-nucleotide non-coding RNA is filed under the name Caenorhabditis elegans. The record is from RNAcentral. Lineage: Eukaryota; Metazoa; Nematoda; Chromadorea; Rhabditida; Rhabditidae.